CCCCCCCCCCAACUUAGGGGUCCAAAGUGAGUUGGGCCUUGAGUACAUUUGUAUUGUGAAAUUGUGUGAGUAAAGCCCCUUUGAACCUCUGAGGAGGCAGGAUUGAGAUACUUUGAGAUGCUCACUUUCUUCUGGGCAAAGAAAGAGUAGCAGAAGAUGUCACUGCUUUGGGAUACCUUACCCAGGAAAUAGAUCCCCCCCAUAGACAAGUGGUGACUCAUCCACGCUGUCCCGAGCUAGUGAGUAGCUGAGCGAACACUGGGAGUGCGGGUCAUUGUGCUGCACUGGAGGGGAAGCGGGGCCUGCUCCUUAGUCCGAGCUGUGGACCUUGGCGUCUCAUGUGAGGUAGAGCAGAACCGGGAGAGUGGAAUGGGAGCAAUGCCUUUGACCUUCAGGAGGAGAGGACUGAGCUGCUACAGAGAAGAGUGUAACUUAGUGCAAGCGAGAACAUUCACGUGGGCCUGCCCCAGCUGCUGUGGUUGCACGGAGCUCCCUGACACUAGAGUUAUUCCAACCCAACUCCAUCACCCCUCCUUGAAUAGGUUUUGGGAAAGAUGCACCAUUGCCCAGAGAAUUGGAUCAGAUGAUAUGCCACGGCUCUUCCAAACUUAAGAAUCUGAACUCCUUUUGUCUAGCCAAGAAUUUGGAUGAAUCUGUCCUCUGCUCACUAGCCACAUGACCUUGGACAUGUUUAUUAGCUUUCCGAGCCUUCAUUUUCUCAGCUGUAAAAUGAGGUUAUUAUCUCAAAAAAUUGUUAUAAGCAUCAACAGAGAUAAGCAAUGAUUCCUGGUGAAAUCAUAAACGUCUUCUCCUGUCUCUGUACCUUACCCGGUUCUGGGGUGACCAGGUGAGUGCCUGGAGUGGCUGUUCCAUGGGUCAGAACAAAGGUCACAUGUGCUUGAGGAAUCAGCACUAAAUCAGAUUUCACUAGCCAUCCUCCCUCCAGGGUGUUCCCUUUGGCUCUUUUUGUCUUCCCUAUCUCCUGUCUUUAACCUCCCCUUCUUCCUUUCCCUUGUGUUCACUCAGCUAGCACUUUCUGAGAGGUUCUCUGUCCCAGAUACCCUGCUGGCUGGGGCAGUGCAUGAAUCACAUGCAGUUGAGAAUGUGAGCAGUGUCUUGCCUGUUGCUGACAGAGAACGGAAGAGGAGGGCCAUGCCCUAAGGGAGGCCUGUGCUGUGGGCUUACAGAGGGGCGGUCCUUUGGCGGGGGCAAGGCUAGAGGAGUGGUGGCCAGACAGGGGAAGUUUACACUAGGAAUAAGACGUUUGAGCCUGUCUUUGAAGAGCAGAUAAUGACUUUCUACACAGACAAGAUGAGGGAGACCCACCCUGCGCCCCCGAAGCUUUUCUGUCACCGUCUUGGAGUCUAAGGAUCUGAGCGUAUCCCUUUCCCCAGUGAGGCUACUCUUUGAAGGAAGUUACCGGGAGGCUGCCAUCCCCAGAACAUUUUGAUCCUAAAAUAUUGGAGCUAAAUCCGUCCUUUGAGAUCAGCUGACUCGAUGAUUACCAGACUCUGUGCACAGCCGAAUCAUCAGGAUGGUUUCCUAGGAGUGAUAUUUCUGGGCCAGAGUAAACGGCUAUGUGAAAUUGUUAGCUAUUGCCAGCUUGCCCAGGAAACUGAUUUCCAUCUGCAGCGAAUUAUAGCCGUGACAAUACAGCGACAGGACUGUGGCAGGGAGGAGACCCAGCGGCGAUCCCACCCUCUCUGCAGCAGGGGCGCACCUUGACCGACAGUUUGCCCCGUGCUGCCGCACCUGGGGCACUUCCCAAAUCCUGGCCCGAGAGGAGACACCAUGCCGCCACCCCGCCACCCCACCUUCCCGGCCCAAGGCUUCGGCUGCUCCGUGGCAGGCAGGCAGAGGGCAUGUUAAAGCAAAAUCGGCCUCGUUAAACUGAAAAGUUCAAGCAAAUGUAGCAAUUUGUUAUCAGAGUGCAGUCAGCUCUCUCAGAAGACUCAGUGGGGACCAGAAGAUGGGGCCAGGUGGCCUACAGCUGUGCUUUGAAGAAGACAGUCCGGGCCAGGGCUGGUCACCUCCCAUCUCUGGGAAGACAGCAGCCCACGUUUCUCUCAGCGUUGCUCUUUCAGCCUCUGCUGACAUCAAGGAUCUCCUGCAGAGGUCCUGACAGCUGGAGAGCGAGCUGCUUUUGUUUCUGACAGCCUCCCCUCUGCGAUGGUGUGUGAGCCUCUGCCGCAGGGCAGGCACCGACUGGUGACGAGUACAUCUGCCCAGCCUGAAGCCGAGCAUGCGAGCAUGCGCUCUGCUGGGCCUUGCCACCGGCUGCCCGGGAUCGCCACCACGUGCGGAGAGGACGGGGCUGUGAGCUUCCUGAACAUGGGGUUCCGAUCUGCAUCUGCACGCUGCUGCCCACAGUCCGUGGGACUGACACUCGAACAAAAGCCGCUCGGAAGUGGGAACUGGCGUCAGUCCGAGGCUUUCAGUAGACAUUCACAGGACAGAGUUGGGACUAGAAGCCCUUUGUAAAGGUUAAUGUCAAGUGAAAUUAUUGUUAUUAUUAGAUAGGUACUCGAUGAAUGUUUAACCGGUGAUUAAAUAAAUGAUGUGGAGAAAAAGGGGAUGGUAGGAGUAAGUGUUCCAGAAACUCCGAUUAGCAUGAGGGGAGGGGCUGCUGAAGAAGGGUGAUGAGGAUGGGCUUAUGGGAAUGGGGAAAAUUUCUAGCUGGGGAAACGCUGCGCCAGCACUCAGCUCAGCAACAAGCACAAUUUAUCUGCAGCAACAUCCUGGUCAGCGGGGCCUAUAAGGAAGUUGUGAGAAAUAGGGUCCAAAGGUAACUCAGUGAUAGCUAACAUUGAUCAAGAGUCACUUUGUGCUAGGCACUGAGGUAAGAGCUGUACCUUGGUAAACUUGCUCAAUCCUCAGGGACAGCCCAGUGAUGCAGUUACUAUUAUGAUCAUCCUCAACCUAUAGAACAGGUAAUUGAGACCCAGAGAAGUUAAUUAAUUUACCUGAAGGCUAGUGAGAGCCAAACCAUUUAGUGCUUUCAAUGCUAAAUUAGGACUCUGACUUUCCACAGUGGCACAGGGGAGACCCUGAAGGUUCUUGAGCAGAAGAGUAACAUGGUAAUAUAAGUGCUUCUGAAAAAAGCAAUAAGGCACAGCAGUUAGGAAUUUGGACUUUGACACCAAUCUGGUGUUUUAAAAAUCCCAGUUCUGCCAGUUGCUAGCUGUGUGAUCUUAAAACACUUAAAAAAGUUUUGUGUGUGUGUGUGGGGGGGGGCAGGGACAGAGAGAGGGAGAAAAAGUGAAUCCCAAGCACAGCCCACACUGUCAGGGCAGAGCCCCAGGCGGGGCUCGAACUCACAAACUGGGAGAUCAUGAUGUGAGCUGAAAUCAAGAGUCACUUAACCGACUGAGUCACCCAGGUGCCCCCUAGCCUAAUCUUAGGCACAUUAUUUGACUGCACUGUACUUCAAUCUCCUCAUCUAUAAAAUGGGGGUAAUAAAAGCAUCCAGCUGUUAGGAUUUUAUGAGGAAUAAAUGAGAUAGGGAACUGCGGAGCCCUUAGAACAAUGAUGGCACGUAUGUGUAUGACAAGUGUCAGCUAUUAUCAAUGUGUUAUCUGUCCACUGGAUGGACUAGAGAGGUCAGAGGCAAGGGAGGCAAGCAGAAGGUUGAUGGCAACUGGAAUAGAGAGCAAGGUAUUUUAGGGGUGCCUGGCUGGCUCAGUCGGUA
Acinonyx jubatus (cheetah) is the source of this 3688-nucleotide long non-coding RNA. RefSeq lists it as uncharacterized. Lineage: Eukaryota; Metazoa; Chordata; Mammalia; Carnivora; Felidae. The record is from RefSeq and is a predicted model, not a curated record. The transcript has 4 exons.